AAAGCACGGCCUGCAGUGCCAAGAGGGACCGUAGUAAAAGCACGGCAGAAGGCACGGGAAAAACAUGGUUCAGAAAAAGAAAACUGGAAUUGCCACAGAAGAAGGUUUUAGUUUCUUUUGCCUUUUCUGUCUGCUUUAACUUUUCAGAGUCAUAUUGGGAUGAUUUAAAAAAAUCAUUUCGGUUUACUGCUCUGUCGAAGUAACCCAUGUAAAAGAUUGAGUGAGCUGCACAAGAGAUCAGUGUGAAUGAUAACGUUCCCAGUGGUGUGACUACAUCUAGAACCAGGCAGACUGCAGGACUGCAAGAGGACAUCGACUUGCAGAAGCCUGUCAGUGUAUUUAAAUUCUGAGCUAUUCUAUUAUUGUAGCACAAUGGGCUUUUUCUGGUCAUAAUGAAAAAAACAGUCAAUUAUUCAUGGGAGAAAUAAAGACUAUUCUGCCUGUUGUUUUCAAAGAGUAAUGUAGUCACUAUAUAUUCCUUUAAACACUGCUCUUAGAUAAACUAUGUUUUUUUCAUAUACUCAGGGUCAUGACCUCUGACUUACUAUUAGAACAUGAAUCAUAAGAGCAAGCUCAUACAUGCAAACUGCAGUAAACAC
Long non-coding RNA from Manacus vitellinus (golden-collared manakin), 599 nucleotides. RefSeq lists it as uncharacterized. The record is from RefSeq and is a predicted model, not a curated record. The transcript is spliced from 4 exons. Lineage: Eukaryota; Metazoa; Chordata; Aves; Passeriformes; Pipridae.